ACUGUACUAAACUAACUAAAGUGGGGGAUAGUGAGGGGAUAAAUUUCCUUAAGGAACUCGGCAAAAUCCCAAUGGCCCACCAGGGCAUGUAACCUCCACCCUAACGGGUGGCGGUUACUUGUAUUGUAACACGGGCCUCGACUGUUUACCAAAAACAUAGCCCUCGGCCAAUAUGAAAAUAGAAGUAUGGAGGGUGAGGCCUGCCCAAUGGUUGUAUCUAAAAGCGGCUGAUGAAAGUCGACCUCGUAAGGACAAUUGAAUGGCCGCGGUAACACUGACCGUGAUAAUGUAGCGUAAUCAAUAGCCAAUUAAUUGUUGGCCAGUAUGAAUGGCGCCACGAAGGCCCCACUGUCUUAAGGAAAUUCCCAGUGAAAUUGAAUUCGUAGUGAAGAUGCUACGUCCAAUUUGUUAGACGAAAAGACCCCGUUGAGCUUUACUGGGGCACUUACACGGCCCCGGCCCCGGCCUUCGAGACUUAAAGGCCUGCAGGCCUUACCUGCAGGGACCAUACCUAGGGACCGGCGGAAUUUGAAUGGGCGGCUUAGACUAUGUGGCAGCCCCCGUCGGGGCAGAUGAAACCCCACUCCCCCAUGUCAAAGGGGCUAACCCCCCCUUGGGGGGGACAGUGUAAGUAGGACAGUUUGGUUGGGGCGACCGCCUUUUAGAGAGUAACGAAGGUGCGCUUAAGGUGCGCAAUUAAUGACUGAAGCCUGACUGCGAGGGGGACACCCCGAGCAGACACCCCAAAGCCCGCCCGCCUUAUGGGAGGGCGGCGGUGGGGUGGGCCAUAGUGACCCGUUAAUUUAGAGUGGAAUAGUUAACGAUCAACGAAUAAAAGUUACCACGGGGAUAACAGCGUAAUAUCGUUAGAGAGUUCACAUCGACGACGAUGUUGCGAACUCGAUGU
Molecule: ribosomal RNA, 907 nt
Filed under: Epizoanthus aff. Corallizoanthus tsukaharai TDS-2010
Lineage: Eukaryota; Metazoa; Cnidaria; Anthozoa; Zoantharia; Epizoanthidae
Description: partial 16S ribosomal RNA
Rfam family: Bacterial large subunit ribosomal RNA
Source: RNAcentral